GAUGAACGCUGGCGGCGUGCCUAACACAUGCAAGUCGAGCGAACAGACGCGGAGCUUGCGCCGCUGACGUUAGCGGCGGGCGGGUGAGUAACACGUGGAUAACCUACCUAUCAGACUGGGAUCACUUCGGGAAACCGGAGCUAAUCCCGGAUAAUAUAUUGAACCGCAUGGUGCAUUAGUGAAAGACGGCUUUGCCGGCGGUUAUAGAUGGAUCCGCGCCUCAUUAGCUUGUUGGUGAGGUAAUAGCUUACCACGGCUACGAUGGGUAGCCGGCCUGAGAGGGUGACCGGCCACAUUGGGACUGAGAUACGGCCCAGAAUCCUACGGGAGGCAGCAGUGGGGAAUAUUGCACAAUGGGCGGACGCCUGAUGCAGCAACGCCGCGUGCGGGAUGACGGGUUUCGGGUUGUAAACAGAUGUGGAAGGAGACGAAGCGUGAGUGACGGUAAUGGGUAAAGAAGCACCGGCUAACUACGUG
RNAcentral lists this ribosomal RNA (477 nucleotides) under uncultured bacterium. RNAcentral describes it as "partial 16S ribosomal RNA". It matches the Rfam family "Bacterial small subunit ribosomal RNA", at positions 28 to 507 of the family's 1533-position model. The record is from RNAcentral.